GCGCUCGUAGCUCAGUUGGAUAGAGCGGUGGUUUCCUAAACCAUGUGCCGGGGGUUCAAUUCCUCUCGGGCGCA
This 74-nucleotide transfer RNA is filed under the name Clostridium magnum DSM 2767. It matches the Rfam family "tRNA". Rfam says of the family: Transfer RNA (tRNA) molecules are approximately 80 nucleotides in length. Their secondary structure includes four short double-helical elements and three loops (D, anti-codon, and T loops). Lineage: Bacteria; Bacillati; Bacillota; Clostridia; Eubacteriales; Clostridiaceae. The record is from Rfam by way of RNAcentral.